This 90-nucleotide unclassified non-coding RNA is filed under the name Pseudomonas sp. Z003-0.4C(8344-21). Lineage: Bacteria; Pseudomonadati; Pseudomonadota; Gammaproteobacteria; Pseudomonadales; Pseudomonadaceae. The record is from RNAcentral.
UGCAGGAGUGAGCCUGCUCGCGAUUGCGGUAUCACAUUCACCAUUUUAGUUGGCUGACGGAUAGCUAUCGCGAGCAGGCUCACUCCUACA